GUGCUAAGUGUCUCGCGAUAAGUGUCUGGCACUCAGGGUCAUCACUUAGGGCUGCACCCGCCCCACCCCCAUCACACGCAGGUCACUUGCUAGCUGCCAGCUCUCCCCCUCAGAUGGCAAUCAGGGGACGCUGAGACACGGAACUGUGUCUGCCUCUGUUUCCAACAAACUCGUGAUCUUUCGUCUCUCUCUGCCCUCAAAAGAAAAAAAAGAAAGUCCAGGCUUAUGGUGGACUUCCUUGGUGGCUCAGCGAUAAAGAAUCUGCCUGCUAAUGUGUGAGACAUGGGUUCAAUCCCUGGGUCAGGAAGAUUCCCUAGAGAAGGAAAUGGCAACCCACUCCAGUAUUCUUGCCUGGAAAGUUCCAUGGACAGGAGCAAGCUACAGUCUAUCGGGUCACAGAGAGAUGGACACGACUUGGCGACUGCACAACACCGACAAGGCAUAUGGAAAAAAUCCCGAAUUUCUCGAUUGUUCCAAGGAGAGGAAGAAUGGAAGAAACAGCAGGUUUCACCUUGGAGCAGGGCCUGAGACCUGUAGCGUGUCUCCCAGGCCAGCGCUGCCACUGGGACUCUGGGACCAAACAAAAAGAAGAACGAAAGCAGAAUCAAGAUUCAGAUUCACGUAGACCAGUGGUCGUAACAGACAGACGUCCUCCCACAGUGCUGAGAAGAAACCUGCCAUGAAGGAUUAACCACGAGUCUGGAGUGUACACUGAUGAAGGCAGGGUAAGCAAGUGAGAUUCUUAUCCUCCGUUGGUAGAGGGUUGGAGGAGGAGUGGGAGUAGGAGGGGCAGA
This 794-nucleotide long non-coding RNA is filed under the name Bos indicus x Bos taurus (hybrid cattle). Its description in RNAcentral is "lncRNA (ENSBIXG00000023230.1)". Lineage: Eukaryota; Metazoa; Chordata; Mammalia; Artiodactyla; Bovidae. The record is from RNAcentral.